Molecule: ribosomal RNA, 484 nt
Filed under: uncultured bacterium
Lineage: Bacteria
Description: partial 16S ribosomal RNA
Rfam family: Bacterial small subunit ribosomal RNA
Source: RNAcentral
AUUGAACGCUGGCGGCAGGCCUAACACAUGCAAGUCGAGCGGAUGAAGGGAGCUUGCUCCUGGAUUCAGCGGCGGACGGGUGUGUAAUGCCUAGGAAUCUGCCUGGGAGUGGGGGAUAACGUCCGGAAACGGGCGCUAAUACCGCAUACGUCCUGAGGGAGAAAGUGGGGGAUCUUCGGACCUCACGCUAUCAGAUGAGCCUAGGUCGGAUUAGCUAGUUGGUGGGGUAAAGGCCUACCAAGGCGACGAUCCGUAGCUGGUCUGAGAGGAUGAUCAGUCACACUGGAACUGAGACACGGUCCAGACUCCUACGGGAGGCAGCAGUGGGGAAUAUUGGACAAUGGGCGAAAGCCUGAUCCAGCCAUGCCGCGUGUGUGAAGAAGGUCUUCGGAUUGUAAAGCACUUUAAGUUGGGAGGAAGGGCAGUAAGUUAAUACCUUGCGGUAUUGACGUUACCGAAAGAAUAAGCACCGGCUAACUACGUG